UGAAAGUAGUCCAGUUUGUUCUAGGAAAUUUCUACACAAUUCCUUCAGUUAGAGGAAGAAAAAUGAACUGCAUCUUUGUCUUCUCAUGUCUUGCAGGUCUCAGUCUGGGGCUUGAGGUUCAUCAGUCCCACUCUGAUCUCAUCAAAAAAGCUGGUGACAAAAUUCAGAUUUUCUGCAGCCAUGAAAGAACCAACUACAGAGUUAUGCUCUGGUACCAACAGUCACCCGGAGACACAGCCAUGAAGCUUAUCGGAUAUUUGUACUUCAAAGAUGUAAUUAUGGAAGACGGCUAUCAAAAGGACUUUCGAAUUUCAGGAGAUCUGGGAGGGGAAACAGCAAAGAAUGGCUCUCUGAUAAUCCAAACCUUAGAACAAGUUCACACUGGUGUUUACUACUGUGCUGCACGAGAAGCACAAUGA
Non-coding RNA from Girardinichthys multiradiatus, 419 nucleotides. NCBI's taxonomy places the organism in Eukaryota, Metazoa, Chordata, Actinopteri, Cyprinodontiformes, Goodeidae. The record is from the annotation of a RefSeq genome assembly.